RNAcentral lists this ribosomal RNA (197 nucleotides) under uncultured eukaryote. Its description in RNAcentral is "partial large subunit ribosomal RNA". It matches the Rfam family "Eukaryotic large subunit ribosomal RNA", at positions 40 to 235 of the family's 3401-position model. The record is from RNAcentral.
AUAUUACUAAGGGGAGGAAAAGAAACUAACAAGGAUUCUCCUAGUAACGGCGAGUGAAGCGGCAACAGCUCAAAUUUGAAAUCUGGCUCUUUUAGGGCCCGAGUUGUAAUUUGUAGAGGAUGCUUCGGCGUCGGCUCCAGUCUAAGUCCUUGGAACAGGACGUCAUAGAGGGUGAGAAUCCCGUAUGUGAUCGGUUG